RNAcentral lists this ribosomal RNA (253 nucleotides) under uncultured bacterium. RNAcentral describes it as "partial 16S ribosomal RNA". It matches the Rfam family "Bacterial small subunit ribosomal RNA", at positions 524 to 776 of the family's 1533-position model. The record is from RNAcentral.
UACGGGGGGGGCAAGCGUUGUUCGGAAUUACUGGGCGUAAAGGGCGCGUAGGCGGCGUAUUAAGUCAGCUGUGAAAUCUCCAAGCUUAACUUGGAACGGUCAGCUGAUACUGAUGUGCUAGAGUGCAGAAGGGGCAAUCGGAAUUCUUGGUGUAGCGGUGAAAUGCGUAGAUAUCAAGAGGAACACCUGAGGUGAAGACGGGUUGCUGGGCUGACACUGACGCUGAAGCGCGAAAGCUAGGGUAGCAAACGGG